Characodon lateralis is the source of this 87-nucleotide non-coding RNA. The record is from the annotation of a GenBank genome assembly. Lineage: Eukaryota; Metazoa; Chordata; Actinopteri; Cyprinodontiformes; Goodeidae.
GUGCUAGGUGGUUCAGUUGGUAGAACAGGUGCACUGUGUGAUGAGGCCAUAGUCUUCGAAGAUGGGUUUGAUUCCCAGUCUCAGACC